CUGGCCGAUAUCUGGAGGAAGAUGAGCCGCUAUCGAUGGUUCUCAGGAAAGUGCGCCUGCCUGAUGAAGGAUCAGGCCUUCCGGCAGGA
This 89-nucleotide transfer RNA is filed under the name Methanosaeta sp. PtaB.Bin039. Its description in RNAcentral is "tRNA-Asp". The record is from RNAcentral. Lineage: Archaea; Methanobacteriati; Methanobacteriota; Methanomicrobia; Methanotrichales; Methanotrichaceae.